RNA transcript from Macadamia integrifolia, 1729 nucleotides. It is a transcript of the gene named growth-regulating factor 1-like, with no coding region annotated. The transcript is spliced from 5 exons. Lineage: Eukaryota; Viridiplantae; Streptophyta; Magnoliopsida; Proteales; Proteaceae. The record is from RefSeq and is a predicted model, not a curated record.
UCUCACUCUGUUCUCUACUUCUCUGGGUCUGUCCAACCCUUCAUAACAUCAACCACCUUUAAACUCUCUUUCGCUGUCUGUGGAGUUUCGACUCUGGAGACCUUGUUUCUUCUUCUUCUUCUCGUUUAGGAUUUUUGUUUCCUUCUUGCUUCCCUACUACGAUGAAUGCAAGGCAUGCGUCUCCUUUCACUACAUCUCAGUGGCAAGAGCUUGAACAUCAAGCUCUCAUAUUCAAGUAUAUGGUGUCUGGAGUUCCCAUUCCAUCUGAUCUCAUCUUCCCAAUCAAAAGAAGCCUGGACUCUUCACUGUCAUCAAGGCUAUUCCCUCAUGAACCCAUUGGGUGGGGUUGUUUUCAGAUGGGUUUUACCAGGAAAGCAGACCCAGAGCCAGGGAGGUGCAGAAGAACAGAUGGGAAGAAAUGGAGGUGCUCGAAGGAUGCAUAUCCGGAUUCGAAGUACUGCGAGAGACACAUGCACAGAGGUAGAAACCGUUCAAGAAAGCCUGUGGAAAUUAUUGCAUCAAACCCUUCAACACCCAUGUCAUCAAUCACUAGAAACCAGUCGACGAUCACCCCUACCAGAAUCACCGCUACCACAAGUCCUUACUCCCUUUCUUCUCUUUCACCAUCAGUUGCAGCUGAAAGCCAUCAUCAUCACCACCAUCCUUACUAUAAUACCUCACUUUAUCCCUUCCUUUAUCCCCACUCUUCUAGACCUUCAGGUAUUAGUUUCUCACCCCAGAACAACUCUACCCAUUUGCUUUUAGACACUGGAUCUUACUCUCAUGCCGAUAAAGAUUACAGAAGCAGGUACUCUAAUGGGCUAAAGGGGGAUGUAGAUGAGAUUUCCUUUUUCUCAGAAGCCUCAGGGACUGUUAGAAGUGUCUCCGAUUCGCCCUUUGAUGACCCAUGGCGGUUAACACCGCUGAGAAUGAGUUCCUCUUCUGCAGCUCAAUCAAAACAGAAGAGUUGCUCUGCUUUACAAGGUGAGUACACUCAAUUGCAGUUGCAGAACUUUACUGCUAUCUCUAAACAGCAAGAAGAGCGGCAAAAUCAAGAGCAACAACACUGCUUUGUUUUGGGUACCGACAUCAAAUCUGAAAGACCGAUGAAGGUGGAGAGGGAAGAGGUACCUCAGCAGCCGUUGCUCCACUUCUUCGAUGAGUGGCCACCAAAGAACAGAGACUACUCCACAACCCAGCUCUCAAUUUCUAUUCCAAUGCCAUCUCCUGACCUCUCAGUGUCCAGUCACCGAGCCCAGAAUGAUAGUUGAACUGUCAAAGUGGGUGGAUUUUCUUCGCUAAGAGAACUACUCUCAGCUUAGUCUCUGAUUGAAUAAUGUGUAACAGGAGCCGGGAGGAUUCCCUUUUGCUUUUUCAAUGGUGGCUUCUACCCUGAACCGUGGUUAGUGGUUGCUCAUUAAGAUUUGUUCAAAGUUAGAAAUUUACCAUAAAUCUACUUGGGAAACCUGUCGCACUUAUCGAGCUUAUUGGUUGGGAUGGCAAGACUUUCUGGAUCCAUGGAACUGCACCAUCUUCCACGUUACCCCCUGCUGUCAAACAGGAAUCAUUGAAUUGGGUUUGACAGAAAAUUCCAUUUUCCUUAAAAUCCUUCCCAAAGGGCUAAAUUUGUCAAGCAAGAAAAGGAUUUUUGUGUUCUUCUCUUUUUAUUUUGCCACAAUUUAUUGCCAAACAUUGUCUUAAGUUCCAUAUCAUAAUUUUCUUUUGAUUA